Paramuricea clavata is the source of this 76-nucleotide non-coding RNA. Lineage: Eukaryota; Metazoa; Cnidaria; Anthozoa; Malacalcyonacea; Plexauridae. The record is from the annotation of a GenBank genome assembly.
GGACUCUGUAGCUCAGUUGGUUGGAGCGCUGCACCGGAAUUGCAGGAGAGCAGGUUCAACUCCUGCCAGAGGGCCA